Molecule: transfer RNA, 71 nt
Filed under: Marmota monax (woodchuck)
Lineage: Eukaryota; Metazoa; Chordata; Mammalia; Rodentia; Sciuridae
Rfam family: tRNA
About the family: Transfer RNA (tRNA) molecules are approximately 80 nucleotides in length.
Source: Rfam by way of RNAcentral
AGGGGUGUAGCUCAGUGAUAGAGCACUUGCCUAUCAUGCAGGAGGUUUUGGUUCCAUCUCUAACACUGCAA